Molecule: ribosomal RNA, 432 nt
Filed under: uncultured bacterium
Lineage: Bacteria
Description: partial 16S ribosomal RNA
Rfam family: Bacterial small subunit ribosomal RNA
Source: RNAcentral
AACGAACGCUGGCGGCAUGCCUAACACAUGCAAGUCGAACGAGACCUUCGGGUCUAGUGGCGCACGGGUGCGUAACGCGUGGGAACCUGCCCUUAGGUUCGGAAUAACUCCCCGAAAGGGGUGCUAAUACCGGAUAAUGUCUUCGGACCAAAGAUUUAUCGCCUUUGGAUGGGCCCGCGUUGGAUUAGCUAGUUGGUAGGGUAAAAGCCUACCAAGGCGACGAUCCAUAGCUGGUCUGAGAGGAUGAUCAGCCACACUGGGACUGAGACACGGCCCAGACUCCUACGGGAGGCAGCAGUGGGGAAUAUUGGACAAUGGGCGAAAGCCUGAUCCAGCAAUGCCGCGUGAGUGAUGAAGGCCUUAGGGUUGUAAAGCUCUUUUACCCGGGAUGAUAAUAACAGUACCGGGAGAAUAAGCUCCGGCGAACUCCGU